This 397-nucleotide ribosomal RNA is filed under the name uncultured bacterium. Its description in RNAcentral is "partial 16S ribosomal RNA". It matches the Rfam family "Bacterial small subunit ribosomal RNA", at positions 523 to 918 of the family's 1533-position model. The record is from RNAcentral.
AUACGUAGGGGGCGAGCGUUGUCCGGAAUGAUUGGGCGUAAAGGGCGCGUAGGCGGCCCGGUAAGUCUGGAGUGAAAGUCCUGUUUUUAAGAUGGGAAUUGCUUUGGAUACUGUCGGGCUUGAGUGCAGGAGAGGUAAGUGGAAUUCCCAGUGUAGCGGAGAAAUGCGUAGAGAUUGGGAGGAACACCAGUGGCGAAGGCGACUUACUGGACUGUAACUGACGCUGAGGCGCGAAAGUGUGGGGAGCAAACAGGAUUAGAUACCCUGGUAGUCCACACUGUAAACGAUGAAUGCUAGGUGUAGGGGGUAUCGACCCCUUCUGUGCCGCAGUCAACACAAUAAGCAUUCCGCCUGGGGAGUACGGCCGCAAGGUUGAAACUCAAAGGAAUUGACGGGG